AAACGCGAUAAGUUCACCGCCUGGGGAGUACGGUCGCAAGGCUAAAACCCAAAGGAAUUGACGGGGGCCCGCACAAGCAGCGGAGCGUGUGGUUUAAUUCGAUGCAACGCGAAGAACCUUACCUGGGCUUGACAUGUACGUAGUAGUGAAGGGAAACCGGAACGAGCCUUCGGGCAGCGUAGACAGGUGCUGCAUGGCUGUCGUCAACUCGUGUCGUGAGAUGUUGGGUUAAGUCCCGCAACGAGCGCAACCCGUGUUGCUAGUUACAAGUGUCUAGCGAGACUGCCGGUAACAAGCCGGAGGAAGGUGCGGAUGAUGUCAAGUCAGCAUGGCCUAUAUGUCCAGGGCUACACACACGCUACAAUGGCUGGUACAAAGAGAAGCGAAAGGGAGACCUGAAGCGAAUCUCAUCAAAGCCAGUCAUAGUUCGGAUUGCAGGCUGCAACUCGCCUGCAUGAAGUCGGAGUUGCUAGUAACCGCAGGUCAGCAAUACUGCGGUGAAUACGUUCCCGGGCCUUGUACACAC
This 526-nucleotide ribosomal RNA is filed under the name uncultured bacterium. RNAcentral's name for it is "bacterial SSU rRNA". It matches the Rfam family "Bacterial small subunit ribosomal RNA", at positions 853 to 1390 of the family's 1533-position model. The record is from RNAcentral.